This 973-nucleotide ribosomal RNA is filed under the name human gut metagenome. Its description in RNAcentral is "bacterial LSU rRNA". It matches the Rfam family "Bacterial large subunit ribosomal RNA", at positions 1953 to 2925 of the family's 2925-position model. The record is from RNAcentral.
AAGGUAGCGAAAUUCCUUGUCGGGUAAGUUCCGACCUGCACGAAUGGCGUAACGAUCUCCACGCUGUCUCGGCCAGAGACUCGGUGAAAUUGAAGUCGCGGUGAAAAUGCCGUGUACCCGCAGAAAGACGGAAAGACCCUGUGCACCUUUACUAUAGCUUGACAUUGGGUUUUGAACCUGCAUGUGUAGGAUAGGUGGGAGGCUGUGAAAGCUGUACGCCAGUAUGGCCGGAGCCACCCGUGAAAUACCACCCUUGUUUGUUCAGGACCCUAACUCGCCGCUGUAAUCCAGCGCGAAGACAGUGUCUGGUGGGUAGUUUGACUGGGGCGGUCGCCUCCUAAAGAGUAACGGAGGCAUGCAAAGGUUCCCUCAGGCUGAUUGGAAACCAGCCGUUGAGUGCAAGCGCAUAAGGGAGCUUGACUGCAAGAGAGACAUCUCGAACAGAUACGAAAGUAGGUGCUAGUGAUCCGGUGGUCCCGAAUGGAAGGGCCAUCGCUCAUUGGAUAAAAGGUACGCCGGGGAUAACAGGCUGAUCGCAUCCAAGAGUUCACAUCGACGAUGCGGUUUGGCACCUCGAUGUCGGCUCAUCACAUCCUGGGGCUGAAGCAGGUCCCAAGGGUUUGGCUGUUCGCCAAUUAAAGUGGUACGCGAGCUGGGUUCAGAACGUCGUGAGACAGUUCGGUCCCUAUCUGUCGUGGGCGCAGGAUAUUUGAAAGGAGCUGUCCCUAGUACGAGAGGACCGGGAUGGACGCACCUCUGGUGCACCAGUUGUCACGCCAGUGGCACAGCUGGGCAGCUAUGUGCGGAACGGAUAAACGCUGAAAGCAUCUAAGCGUGAAGCCGCCUCCAAGAUAAGAUAUCCCAUAGCAUAAGCUAGUAAGACCCCUCAUGGACUAAGAGGUUGAUAGGCUGCAUGUGUAAGCGUGGUGACACGUUUAGCUUGGCAGUACUAAUAGGUCGAGGGCUUGACUUU